UACGUAAGGGGCAAGCGUUGUCCGGAAUCACUGGGCGUAAAGCGCACGUAGGCGGUUUGUCAAGUUGGGGGUGUAAGCUCUGGGCCUAACCCAGAAAUUGCCUCCAAAACUAGCAUACUUGAGUAUUAGAGGGGAAGCUGGAAUUCACGGUGUAGCGGUGAAAUGCGUAGAUAUCGUGGAGAACACCCGUGGCGAAGGCGGGCUUCUGGCUAAUUACUGACGCUGAGGUGCGAAAGCUAGGGGAGCGAACGGG
RNAcentral lists this ribosomal RNA (253 nucleotides) under uncultured bacterium. RNAcentral describes it as "partial 16S ribosomal RNA". It matches the Rfam family "Bacterial small subunit ribosomal RNA", at positions 524 to 776 of the family's 1533-position model. The record is from RNAcentral.